AGAGUUUGAUCAUGGCUCAGGAUGAACGCUAGCGACAGGCUUAACACAUGCAAGUCGAGGGGCAGCAUAAAAGUAGCAAUACUUGGUGGCGACCGGCGCACGGGUGAGUAACGCGUAUGCAACCUACCUAUCAGAGGGGAAUAACCCGGCGAAAGUCGGACUAAUACCGCAUAAAACAGGGGCACCGCAUGGUGAUAUUUGUUAAAGAAAUUCGCUGAUAGAUGGGCAUGCGUUCCAUUAGGUAGUUGGUGAGGUAACGGCUCACCAAGCCGACGAUGGAUAGGGAACUGAGAGGUUGGUCCCCCACACUGGUACUGAGACACGGACCAGACUCCUACGGGAGGCAGCAGUGAGGAAUAUUGGUCAAUGGGCGGGAGCCUGAACCAGCCAAGUCGCGUGAAGGAAGAAGGAUCUAUGGUUCGUAAACUUCUUUGCAGGGGAAUAAAGUGCAGGACGUGUCCUGUUUUGUAUGUACCCUGAGAAUAAGGAUCGGCUAACUCCGUGCCAGCCGCAGC
Molecule: ribosomal RNA, 515 nt
Filed under: uncultured bacterium
Lineage: Bacteria
Description: bacterial SSU rRNA
Rfam family: Bacterial small subunit ribosomal RNA
Source: RNAcentral